Molecule: ribosomal RNA, 339 nt
Filed under: Staphylococcus aureus
Lineage: Bacteria; Bacillati; Bacillota; Bacilli; Caryophanales; Staphylococcaceae
Description: partial 23S ribosomal RNA
Rfam family: Bacterial large subunit ribosomal RNA
Source: RNAcentral
UAAGGGCGCACGGUGGAUGCCUUGGCACUAGAAGCCGAUGAAGGACGUUACUAACGACGAUAUGCUUUGGGGAGCUGUAAGUAAGCUUUGAUCCAGAGAUUUCCGAAUGGGGAAACCCAGCAUGAGUUAUGUCAUGUUAUCGAUAUGUGAAUACAUAGCAUAUCAGAAGGCACACCCGGAGAACUGAAACAUCUUAGUACCCGGAGGAAGAGAAAGAAAAUUCGAUUCCCUUAGUAGCGGCGAGCGAAACGGGAAGAGCCCAAACCAACAAGCUUGCUUGUUGGGGUUGUAGGACACUCUAUACGGAGUUACAAAGGACGACAUUAGACGAAUCAUCUG